GUAGCUCAGCGGUAGAGUGCAUGCUUUGCAAGCAUGAGGCCCUGGGUUCGAUUCCUCAGC
Molecule: non-coding RNA, 60 nt
Organism: Dipodomys ordii (Ord's kangaroo rat)
Lineage: Eukaryota; Metazoa; Chordata; Mammalia; Rodentia; Heteromyidae
Source: Rfam